AAUUACAUUUUAACCAUGUGAAUAAACACAAUAUCAUGUGUCAUGGAAUUAUCCGACAAGUAGUCAGCUAAAAGGAUACUUUUAGAAGGUUGCUUUUUAAUUAUAGUAAUAUAGUUAAAGAAGAUGUAAAAAUCAAUACUGGAUAAUGUGCAAAUGUUAUCGCUUAAUAAAAUACUAGAGUUGUCGUAGCCGUAAUAGACGGACUAGUAGUCAAUAAGCCUAUAACUCAUAUCUAGCAAAUAUGAAGCAAUGUAGGUAAUGCUAAAUAAGGCUAUUUCUCGUGAAUACUCUGAAAAGAGGAUAUAAGACAUAACUAGGUUAAAGUAGCUCAAUUCGAGAUAAAAAAGCAAUGUUAGGAUUGGAAAUUCAAAAACAUUCUGAAUGAUGGGUGAAAUUUAUGGGCAGUCAAUCCCAUACGAGCUUGAAAGGGGCAAGAAGUUAUAAGGUCGCUACUUAUAACUCAGACUUGUUCUCUCGGUGAUUGAAUAAUUAAGAAGAUAAUAAUUUGUAAGGUGAAAGUCUAAAUGUAUUUUAUAU
Molecule: small RNA, 537 nt
Filed under: chicken gut metagenome
Description: ROOL RNA
Rfam family: ROOL RNA
About the family: Firmicutes, Fusobacteria (1 example), Tenericutes (1 example).
Source: RNAcentral